This 264-nucleotide ribosomal RNA is filed under the name Salmonella enterica. Its description in RNAcentral is "partial 16S ribosomal RNA". It matches the Rfam family "Bacterial small subunit ribosomal RNA", at positions 1 to 260 of the family's 1533-position model. The record is from RNAcentral. Lineage: Bacteria; Pseudomonadati; Pseudomonadota; Gammaproteobacteria; Enterobacterales; Enterobacteriaceae.
AAAUUGAAGAGUUUGAUCAUGGCUCAGAUUGAACGCUGGCGGCAGGCCUAACACAUGCAAGUCGAACGGUAACAGGAAGCAGCUUGCUGCUUCGCUGACGAGUGGCGGACGGGUGAGUAAUGUCUGGGAAACUGCCUGAUGGAGGGGGAUAACUACUGGAAACGGUGGCUAAUACCGCAUAACGUCGCAAGACCAAAGAGGGGGACCUUCGGGCCUCUUGCACAUCAGAUGUGCCCAGAUGGGAUUAGCUUGUUGGUGAGGUAA